This 35-nucleotide transfer RNA is filed under the name Aneura mirabilis. RNAcentral describes it as "tRNA-Val". The record is from RNAcentral. Lineage: Eukaryota; Viridiplantae; Streptophyta; Jungermanniopsida; Metzgeriales; Aneuraceae.
AGGACUAUAGCUCAGUGGUAGAGCACCUCGUUUAC